CGCGGAAGCAGCGCGCAUGCUCCGCUGCCUUUUAUGAAUGGGGGCUGGAGGGGAGCGCGGAUGCGGCUCCCGGGGUUUUUUUUUUUUUCCCUUUUUUUUUUUUGAAUGAAGGGCAGCGGCAGCUGCGCAUGCACCGCGCCCCCCGCCCGGGGCUGGAGGACCAUCAUUUUAUCCCUGUUUGGGAAUUUCCAUUACUGCUGGGGAAAGGGACUUCUCCUCCUGAGUGAAGAUUCUGGGACGUGACUUGAAGCAAGGCAAGAGAAGCAAAACCUUUGUGUGAACAUCACAGAACAGAAGAAAAAAGUGAUGUACAAAGCAAGAGAAAGAAAUCAGGCUGGUUUCAAACCCUUUGUAGUGCUGGGCUGAGGGGAGACUGCUUCUUCAUCCCACUGCUUUUCCAGACUGCACACUGUGUGUUCCUGCAGGAAUUCUCCUGCCCAGAUUUUUGUCACCUUGUGCAGAUUCUGCUGAGACUCUGGCAGCAGCAGGAUAUUGAAGGAUUUGAGCUGAGGUGUUUGAGCAGUCACAGCCCCCUGCUCUGACCCCUCAUUUCCAGCGCAGACACGGCUCCCUCAGCCCCACAUUUCCUCCAGGAAUCCCUGGCUGUGUGGCCCCUUUUCAGCAGAGAUUCCUGCAGCCCCAGCGUUUGAAGUGGCCGAAUCCCUGCAGGCCGGGGCCAGCAGCUCCGUCUGGCCAGGGCCCAUCGUCCCCUCGGCGCUGAUGUGGUGAG
This 730-nucleotide long non-coding RNA is filed under the name Zonotrichia albicollis (white-throated sparrow). Its description in RNAcentral is "lncRNA (ENSZALG00000014104.1)". The record is from RNAcentral. Lineage: Eukaryota; Metazoa; Chordata; Aves; Passeriformes; Passerellidae.